Molecule: ribosomal RNA, 119 nt
Organism: Cercocebus atys (sooty mangabey)
Lineage: Eukaryota; Metazoa; Chordata; Mammalia; Primates; Cercopithecidae
Source: Ensembl
GUCUACGGCCAUCCCACUCUGAACGCGUCUGAUCUCAUCUGAUCUCGGAAGCUAAGCAGGGUGGGGCCUGGUUAGUACUUGGUUGGGAGACCGUGUGGAAAUACCGGGUACUGUAGGCU